RNAcentral lists this ribosomal RNA (305 nucleotides) under uncultured bacterium. RNAcentral's name for it is "partial 16S ribosomal RNA". It matches the Rfam family "Bacterial small subunit ribosomal RNA", at positions 335 to 658 of the family's 1533-position model. The record is from RNAcentral.
UUCCCACGGGGGGCAGCAGUGGGGGAUAUUGCACAAUGGGGGAAACCCUGAUGCAGCGACGCCGCGUGAGUGAAGAAGUGUUUCGGCACGUAAAGCCCUAUCGGCAGGGAAGAAGAUGACGGUACCUGACCAAGAAGCCCCGGCUAACUACGUGCCAGCAGCCGCGGUAAUACGUAGGGGGCAAGCGUUAUCCGGAUUUACUGGGUGUAAAGGGGGCGCAGACGGCAAUGCAAGCCAGGAGUGAAAGCCCGGGGCCCAACCCCGGGACUGCUCUUGGAACUGCAUGGCUGGAGUACCGGAGGGGG